UACGUAGGUGGCAAGCGUUGUCCGGAUUUACUGGGCGUAAAGAGCGCGCAGGCUGUCGUGCAAGUCGCGUGUGAAAGCCCCCGGCUCAACUGGGGAGGGUCACGCGAUACUGUUCGACUCGAAGGCAGGAGAGGGAAGCGGAAUUCCCGGUGUAGUGGUGAAAUGCGUAGAUAUCGGGAGGAACACCAGUGGCGAAGGCGGCUUCCUGGCCUGUUCUUGACGCUGAGGCGCGAAAGCUAGGGUAGCAAACGGG
Molecule: ribosomal RNA, 253 nt
Filed under: uncultured bacterium
Lineage: Bacteria
Description: partial 16S ribosomal RNA
Rfam family: Bacterial small subunit ribosomal RNA
Source: RNAcentral